AUUGAACGCUGGCGGCAUGCCUUACACAUGCAAGUCGAACGGCAGCACGGGAGCAAUCCUGGUGGCGAGUGGCGAACGGGUGAGUAAUAUAUCGGAACGUGCCCGGUCGUGGGGAUAACGUAGCGAAAGCUACGCUAAUACCGCAUACGAUCUACGGAUGAAAGCGGGGGAUCGCAAGACCUCGCGCGAUUGGAGCGGUCGAUAUCAGAUUAGGUAGUUGGUGAGGUAAAGGCUCACCAAGCCGACGAUCUGUAGCUGGUCUGAGAGGACGACCAGCCACACUGGGACUGAGACACGGCCCAGACUCCUACGGGAGGCAGCAGUGGGGAAUUUUGGACAAUGGGCGCAAGCCUGAUCCAGCAAUGCCGCGUGCAGGAUGAGGGCCUCGG
RNAcentral lists this ribosomal RNA (389 nucleotides) under uncultured bacterium. Its description in RNAcentral is "bacterial SSU rRNA". It matches the Rfam family "Bacterial small subunit ribosomal RNA", at positions 29 to 420 of the family's 1533-position model. The record is from RNAcentral.